ACCCCAGCAAUUCCCUCCCAGAAGAUAGGAAGGACUCAGAGAGGCAGGCGACGGCUGCUGGGGGACGUGCUGGUGCAGCCCGAGAGGCAGCAGAGUGGUGGAGAUGGAAUAAUGAUGAUGUCGGCCCCACAGCUGCAGCCCUGUGUGGAAAUGCUAGCAAGGGGGUGGAGUUGGAGGAAAAGGCCCCUUGGGAAGCCAGAGAUUGGGUGGCCAAUCCACUUGCCUGGCCAAGGGAGAAGGAGCAAGCUGGAAGCGGGGAGGAUUGUCCUAAAUGGAGGGCUUUAUUUAAGGCAGGGACUGCCGAAGAUGAGAUGAUCAGCAGGGAAGGGGGUUGUUGGUCCGGUGGGCUCCCGGGGAGGAGCACGGACCUUUAUUCCCGCUGACAGGUGAAGGAGUGGAGUGAAUAUACUUCCCUCCUCCCCAACUCUGAGGCAAUGCCCGUGCCUGGAAUUUCAUGUGAGAGGGCGUGAAGGUUAAUUGGGGAAAUCCACCUCCCUUAAACAGACACAUUAAUUUUCUGCAUUCAUAUACCGCCUUCUGCCAAUGCAUUCAAGGCGAAGCCAGUUCACCAUUUAAAAUAAUGGUUCAUCAUUUAAUAUACACAAAACCCAAAGUAAAAGAGAUGGUAACAGAGAGGCAAAUGAGCAAAUUUAGGUUCUAUGGUUACUGAGGGAGAAAGUUCUGGGAGGGGAGGUGCCAAAUGGCAGUUGGUCCCAGCUGGGCCGAAGUAGUGAGCCUUGCUAUCUUACCUCUCCCCAGAGGUGCACCUAGGUAAUUUUGGAGGCCGGAUCUAAAGGUCUUUGGAGGCACACCCGCCCCUUCAAAGAUGGAAUAAUUAAGUAUGUUUUCACGGUGGAAGAUACCUAGCUGGAUACCACCUUGCUCGGAGGCUCAGUGAAGGCAGCAGCAGGAAAGGCAAAAUAGCAAUGCUGCAGCAUUUCAUUCACCCGGUGACUGCAGCCUAACACUGUACAGCAUAUUUCAUCACUAGGCACUUCUGAUGGGGAAGAAGAAAAUCAGGAGUAUGUAAGCCAGCAGGUUUUCUCCACAACAACUUCUGAACUGCAGUCUGUUUGAACAAUGUGAACUGGGCAUUUCAGCAGCAGUGCCCCUACAGAUCCACAAUCAACCUUAGCUUAUCCUGGUGCCAGUUCUGGAGGGUGUGCUUAAUGGGUGUCAAAUUGGGAGCUUGCCCCAGGGACUGAAAUGACUAGCUAGAGCACCACACCUGAGCUCAACAAGGGUCCCAAAGAGCAGUCUGAACUACCGGGCACAGAUCUUCUGUUUGAACUUGGGCUCUGGUAACCUUCAUGUCUACACAAGGGAGAAGAAAGCGAAAUCCCAAAUUAUGCAGACAUUUGUAGGUCAUGAAGCUGUUUCUCUUUUUGAUUUAGAAUAAUCCAGGCCUCAAAAAGGGCAUGGCUGGUUGUUCCUACAAAUAAAAUUCCACAGCUCAAAGGCAAAAUAUUUUAAAGACAAUGUACAAUAAGAGCAGGGGUUUCCCCUCCCCUCUCAAACCAUGUAAAAGCUGUUUUGUGAAAUUAAGCUGGAAAUAUCAUAAGUGGGAAAUGACCACAGAAUAAAUAGGAACCUUUCAGAACGGCAGAAAA
Hemicordylus capensis (graceful crag lizard) is the source of this 1610-nucleotide long non-coding RNA. RefSeq lists it as uncharacterized. The record is from RefSeq and is a predicted model, not a curated record. Lineage: Eukaryota; Metazoa; Chordata; Lepidosauria; Squamata; Cordylidae. The transcript has 2 exons.